AUACGGAGGGUGCAAGCGUUAAUCGGAAUUACUGGGCGUAAAGCGUACGUAGGCGGUUUAUUAAGUCAGAUGUGAAAGCCCCGGGCUUAACCUGGGAACUGCAUUUGAAACUAGUAGGCUAGAGUAUGGUAGAGGGGGGUAGAAUUCCUAGUGUAGCGGUGAAAUGCGUAGAUAUUAGGAGGAAUACCAGUGGCGAAGGCGGCCCCCUGGACCAAUACUGACGCUGAGGUACGAAAGCGUGGGGAGCGAACAGGAUUAGAUACCCCAGUAGUCC
Molecule: ribosomal RNA, 274 nt
Filed under: uncultured bacterium
Lineage: Bacteria
Description: partial 16S ribosomal RNA
Rfam family: Bacterial small subunit ribosomal RNA
Source: RNAcentral